RNAcentral lists this ribosomal RNA (557 nucleotides) under uncultured bacterium. Its description in RNAcentral is "bacterial SSU rRNA". It matches the Rfam family "Bacterial small subunit ribosomal RNA", at positions 777 to 1343 of the family's 1533-position model. The record is from RNAcentral.
AAUAGAUACCCGGGUAGUCCACGCCGUAAACGAUGGAUGCUAGCUAUUGGGGGGAAUCGACCCCCUCCGAAGCGAAGCUAACGCGUUAAGCAUCCCGCCUGAGUAGUACGAGCGCAAGCUUAAAACUCAAAGGAAUUGACGGGGACCCGCACAAGCGGUGGAGCGUGUGGUUUAAUUCGAUGGUAAACGAAGAACCUUACCAAGGUUUGACAUCCCGGUAGCCGUUCUCCGAAAGGAGAAUUUCAUUUAGUUGGACCGGUGACAGGUGAUGCAUGGCCGUCGUCAGCUCGUGUCGUGAGAUGUUGGGUUAAGUCCCGCAACGAGCGCAACCCUUAUGAUUUAGUUGGAUUUUUCUAAACAGACUGCCCUGGUAACAGGGAGGAAAGAGGGGAUGAUGUCAGGUCAGUAUUUCCCUUACACCUUGGGCGACACACGCGCUACAAUGGCCGGUACAAUGGGCAGCUAAGCCGCGAGGUGGAGCAAAUCCCAUCAAAGCCGGUCCCAGUUCGGAUUGCAGGCUGAAACCCGCCUGCAUGAAGCCGGAAUCGCUAGUAACC